This 425-nucleotide ribosomal RNA is filed under the name uncultured bacterium. Its description in RNAcentral is "bacterial SSU rRNA". It matches the Rfam family "Bacterial small subunit ribosomal RNA", at positions 356 to 773 of the family's 1533-position model. The record is from RNAcentral.
GGGGAAUAUUGCACAACGGGGGAAACCCUGAUGCAGCCAUGCCGCGUGUGUGAAGAAGGCCUUCGGGUUGUAAAGCACUUUCAGUAGGGAGGAAGGGUUGAUGUCUAAUACGCAUCAACAUUGACGUUACCUACAGAAGAAGCACCGGCUAACUCCGUGCCAGCAGCCGCGGUAAUACGGAGGGUGCAAGCGUUAAUCGGAAUAACUGGGCGUAAAGCGCACGCAGGCGGUUGGAUAAGUCAGAUGUGAAAUCCCCGGGCUCAACCAGGGAACUGCAUUUGAAACUGUCCGACUAGAGUCUUGUAGAGGGGGGUAGAAUUCCAGGUGUAGCGGUGAAAUGCGUAGAGAUCUGGAGGAGUACCGGUGGCGAAGGCGGCCCCCUGGACAAAGACUGACGCUCAGGUGCGAAAGCGUGGGGAGCAAAC